UGGGAUGGGGUAGAUGUGGCCA
This 22-nucleotide unclassified non-coding RNA is filed under the name Mus musculus (house mouse). RNAcentral's name for it is "oocyte_clustered_small_RNA8444". The record is from RNAcentral. Lineage: Eukaryota; Metazoa; Chordata; Mammalia; Rodentia; Muridae.